GGUUAAGCGACUAAGCGUACACGGUGGAUGCCCUGGCAGUCAGAGGCGAUGAAGGACGUGCUAAUCUGCGAUAAGCGCCGGUAAGGUGAUAUGAACCGUUAUAACCGGCGAUUUCCGAAUGGGGAAACCCAGUGUGACUCGUCACACUAUCAUUAACUGAAUCCAUAGGUUAAUGAGGCGAACCGGGGGAACUGAAACAUCUAAGUACCCCGAGGAAAAGAAAUCAACCGAGAUUCCCCCAGUAGCGGCGAGCGAACGGGGAGGAGCCCAGAGCCUGAAUCAGCAUGUGUGUUAGUGGAAGCGUCUGGAAAGGCGCGCGAUACAGGGUGACAGCCCCGUACACAAAAGCGCAUGUGCUGUGAGCUCGAUGAGUAGGGCGGGACACGUGGUAUCCUGUCUGAAUAUGGGGGGACCAUCCUCCAAGGCUAAAUACUCCUGACUGACCGAUAGUGAACCAGUACCGUGAGGGAAAGGCGAAAAGAACCCCGGCGAGGGGAGUGAAAAAGAACCUGAAACCGUGUACGUACAAGCAGUGGGAGCACCCUUUGGGGUGUGACUGCGUACCUUUUGUAUAAUGGGUCAGCGACUUAUAUUCUGUAGCAAGGUUAACCGAAUAGGGGAGCCGGAGGGAAACCGAGUCUUAAUUGGGCGUUAAGUUGCAGGGUAUAGACCCGAAACCCGGUGAUCUAGCCAUGGGCAGGUUGAAGGUUGGGUAACACUAACUGGAGGACCGAACCGACUAAUGUUGAAAAAUUAGCGGAUGACCUGUGGCUGGGGGUGAAAGGCCAAUCAAACCGGGAGAUAGCUGGUUCUCCCCGAAAGCUAUUUAGGUAGCGCCUCGUGAAUUCAUCUCCGGGGGUAGAGCACUGUUUCGGCUAGGGGGCCAUCCCGGCUUACCAACCCGAUGCAAACUGCGAAUACCGGAGAAUGUUAUCACGGGAGACACACGGCGGGUGCUAACGUCCGUCGUGAAGAGGGAAACAACCCAGACCGCCAGCUAAGGUCCCAAAGUCAUGGUUAAGUGGGAAACGAUGUGGGAAGGCCCAGACAGCCAGGAUGUUGGCUUAGAAGCAGCCAUCAUUUAAAGAAAGCGUAAUAGCUCACUGGUCGAGUCGGCCUGCGCGGAAGAUGUAACGGGGCUAAACCAUGCACCGAAGCUGCGGCAGCGACGCUGAUGCGUUGUUGGGUAGGGGAGCGUUCUGUAAGCCUGUGAAGGUGGCCUGUGAGGGUUGCUGGAGGUAUCAGAAGUGCGAAUGCUGACAUAAGUAACGAUAAAGCGGGUGAAAAGCCCGCUCGCCGGAAGACCAAGGGUUCCUGUCCAACGUUAAUCGGGGCAGGGUGAGUCGACCCCUAAGGCGAGGCCGAAAGGCGUAGUCGAUGGGAAACGGGUUAAUAUUCCCGUACUUGGUGUUACUGCGAAGGGGGGACGGAGAAGGCUAUGUUGGCCGGGCGACGGUUGUCCCGGUUUAAGCGUGUAGGUGUGUGUUCCAGGUAAAUCCGGUUCACUUUAACACUGAGGCGUGAUGACGAGGCACUACGGUGCUGAAGCAACAAAUGCCCUGCUUCCAGGAAAAGCCUCUAAGCAUCAGGUAACAUCAAAUCGUACCCCAAACCGACACAGGUGGUCAGGUAGAGAAUACCAAGGCGCUUGAGAGAACUCGGGUGAAGGAACUAGGCAAAAUGGUGCCGUAACUUCGGGAGAAGGCACGCUGACAUGUAGGUGAAGUGAUUUACUCACGGAGCUGAAGUCAGUCGAAGAUACCAGCUGGCUGCAACUGUUUAUUAAAAACACAGCACUGUGCAAACACGAAAGUGGACGUAUACGGUGUGACGCCUGCCCGGUGCCGGAAGGUUAAUUGAUGGGGUCAGCGCAAGCGAAGCUCCUGAUCGAAGCCCCGGUAAACGGCGGCCGUAACUAUAACGGUCCUAAGGUAGCGAAAUUCCUUGUCGGGUAAGUUCCGACCUGCACGAAUGGCGUAAUGAUGGCCAGGCUGUCUCCACCCGAGACUCAGUGAAAUUGAACUCGCUGUGAAGAUGCAGUGUACCCGCGGCAAGACGGAAAGACCCCGUGAACCUUUACUAUAGCUUGACACUGAACAUUGAGCCUUGAUGUGUAGGAUAGGUGGGAGGCUUUGAAGUGUGGACGCCAGUCUGCAUGGAGCCGGCCUUGAAAUACCACCCUUUAAUGUUUGAUGUUCUAACGUGGACCCGUGAUCCGGGUUGCGGACAGUGUCUGGUGGGUAGUUUGACUGGGGCGGUCUCCUCCUAAAGAGUAACGGAGGAGCACGAAGGUUGGCUAAUCCUGGUCGGACAUCAGGAGGUUAGUGCAAUGGCAUAAGCCAGCUUGACUGCGAGCGUGACGGCGCGAGCAGGUGCGAAAGCAGGUCAUAGUGAUCCGGUGGUUCUGAAUGGAAGGGCCAUCGCUCAACGGAUAAAAGGUACUCCGGGGAUAACAGGCUGAUACCGCCCAAGAGUUCAUAUCGACGGCGGUGUUUGGCACCUCGAUGUCGGCUCAUCACAUCCUGGGGCUGAAGUAGGUCCCAAGGGUAUGGCUGUUCGCCAUUUAAAGUGGUACGCGAGCUGGGUUUAGAACGUCGUGAGACAGUUCGGUCCCUAUCUGCCGUGGGCGCUGGAGAACUGAGGGGGGCUGCUCCUAGUACGAGAGGACCGGAGUGGACGCAUCACUGGUGUUCGGGUUGUCAUGCCAAUGGCACUGCCCGGUAGCUAAAUGCGGAAGAGAUAAGUGCUGAAAGCAUCUAAGCACGAAACUUGCCCCGAGAUGAGUUCUCCCUGAGACUUAGAGUCUCCUGAAGGAACGUUGAAGACGACGACGUUGAUAGGCCGGGUGUGUAAGCGCAGCGAUGCGUUGAGCUAACCGGUACUAAUGAACCGUGAGGCUUAACCUU
Molecule: ribosomal RNA, 2906 nt
Filed under: Salmonella enterica
Lineage: Bacteria; Pseudomonadati; Pseudomonadota; Gammaproteobacteria; Enterobacterales; Enterobacteriaceae
Description: 23S ribosomal RNA
Rfam family: Bacterial large subunit ribosomal RNA
Source: RNAcentral